RNAcentral lists this ribosomal RNA (253 nucleotides) under uncultured bacterium. RNAcentral's name for it is "partial 16S ribosomal RNA". It matches the Rfam family "Bacterial small subunit ribosomal RNA", at positions 524 to 776 of the family's 1533-position model. The record is from RNAcentral.
UACGUAGGGUGCAAGCGUUAAUCGGAAUUACUGGGCGUAAAGCGUGCGCAGGCGGCUAUGCAAGACAGAUGUGAAAUCCCCGGGCUCAACCUGGGAACUGCGUUUGAAACUACAAGGCUAGAGUGUAGCAGAGGGGGGUAGAAUUCCACGUGUAGCAGUGAAAUGCGUAGAGAUGUGGAGGAAUACCAAUGGCGAAGGCAGCCCCCUGGGUUAACACUGACGCUCAUGCACGAAAGCGUGGGGAGCGAACAGG